GAUGGUAGACCAGGGUAAUAUAAUGACAGUAGAUGGUAGACCAGGGUAAUAUAAUGACAGUAGAUGGUAGACCAGGGUGAUAUAAUGACUGUAGAUGGUAGACCAGGGUAAUAUAAUGACAGGAGAGACCAGGGUAAUAUAAUGACAGUAGAUGGUAGACCAGGGUAAUAUAAUGACAGUAGAUGGUAGACCAGGGUAAUAUAAUGACAGUAGACGGGAGACCAGGGGAGAGUAGGGUAAUAUAAUGACAGUAGAGGGUAGACCAGGGUAAUAUAAUGACAGUAGAUGGUAGAACAGGGUAAUAUAAUGACAGUAGAUGGUAGUCCAGGGUUAUAUAAUGACAGUGGAUGGUAGACCAGGGUAAUAUAAACCAGGGUAAUAUAGACCAGGGUAAUAUAAUGACAGUAG
Oncorhynchus tshawytscha (Chinook salmon) is the source of this 408-nucleotide long non-coding RNA. Lineage: Eukaryota; Metazoa; Chordata; Actinopteri; Salmoniformes; Salmonidae. The record is from Ensembl.